UCUCUUACGUAUGUACUUGUUAAGCCUUUAAGAGAAAAGUUUACAACUUAAGGAAUUAUAACAAAGAAGUAACACAUAAUAAGUUUACCUUAUUUAGUGUGUAUCAAUCGAGUUUCUGACCUAUCAGCUUUUGAUGUUAGGGUAUUGGCCUAACAUGGCUAUGACGGGUAACGGGGAAUUAGAGUUCGAUUCCGGAGAGGGAGCCUGAGAAAUAGCUACCACAUCUAAGGAAGGCAGCAGGCGCGUAAAUUACCCAAUUCUAAAGAAGAGAGGUAGUGACAAGAAAUAACAAUACAAGGCCAUUUCAUGGUUUUGUAAUUGGAAUGAUGGGAAUUUAAAACCUUCCCAAAAUUCAAUUGGAGGGCAAGUCUGGUGCCAGCAGCCGCGGUAAUUCCAGCUCCAAUAGCGUAUAUUAAAAUUGUUGCAGUUAAAACGCUCGUAGUUGAAUUUCAAAGAAUCAAUAUUUUAAGUAAUGCUUUUGGUAUAAGAUGCUUAGGCAAUACAACGUAUCUGCUCUUUGCAUUCCUUAUCCAAAAUGUGUUCUUAUUAUAAAAAGGAUUCUUUUUAAAAACUCCUUUACUUUUUGUACUGGAGAUUUUGUUACUUUGAGUAAAUUAGAGUGUUCAAAGCAAACAGUUAAAGCAUUUUACUGCGUUUGAAUACUACAGCAUGGAAUAACAAAAUUGAACAAGUCAAAAUUCUGUUCCUUUUUCUUAUUUUGGCU
RNAcentral lists this ribosomal RNA (724 nucleotides) under Plasmodium ovale (malaria parasite P. ovale). RNAcentral describes it as "SSU rRNA". It matches the Rfam family "Eukaryotic small subunit ribosomal RNA", at positions 191 to 864 of the family's 1831-position model. Lineage: Eukaryota; Apicomplexa; Aconoidasida; Haemosporida; Plasmodiidae. The record is from RNAcentral.